AGUGAACGCUGGCGGUAGGCCUAACACAUGCAAGUCGAACGGCAGCACAGUAAGAGUUUGCUCUUACCGGUGGCGAGUGGCGGAUGGGUGAGGAAUACAUCGGAAUCUAAUAUUUCGUGGGGGGGAACGGAAGGCAGGUUAUGCUAAUACAGCAUACGUCCUACGGGUGAAAGCAGUGGAUCUUCGGACCUUGCGCGACUGAAAGAGACGGUGGCGCAUUAGCUAGUUGGCGGGGUAAAGGCUCACCAAGGCGACGAUGCGUAGCCGAACUGAGAGGAUGAUCAGCCACACUCGACCUGAGACACGGUCCAGACUCCUACGGGAGGCAGCAGUAGGGAAUCUUGCACAAUGGGCGAAAGCCUGAUCCAGCCAUACCGCGUGGGUGAUGAAGGCCUUCGGGUUGUAAAACCCUUUUAUUAGGAAAGAAAAGCUGUAGAUUAAAACCUCGCUGUUCUGACGGUACCCAAAGAAUAAGCACCGGCUAACUACGUG
Molecule: ribosomal RNA, 492 nt
Filed under: uncultured bacterium
Lineage: Bacteria
Description: partial 16S ribosomal RNA
Rfam family: Bacterial small subunit ribosomal RNA
Source: RNAcentral